AGAUUAAACUGAAGAGUUUGAUCCUGGCUCAGAUUGAACGCUGGCGGCAUGCCUUACACAUGCAAGUCGAACGGCAGCACGGAGCUUGCUCUGGUGGCGAGUGGCGAACGGGUGAGUAAUAUAUCGGAACGUACCCUGGAGUGGGGGAUAACGUAGCGAAAGUUACGCUAAUACCGCAUACGAUCUAAGGAUGAAAGUGGGGGAUCGCAAGACCUCAUGCUCGUGGAGCGGCCGAUAUCUGAUUAGCUAGUUGGUAGGGUAAAAG
Molecule: ribosomal RNA, 265 nt
Rfam family: Bacterial small subunit ribosomal RNA